AGCAGCCGCGGUAAUUCCAGCUCCAAUAGCGUAUAUUAAAGUUGUUGCAGUUAAAAAGCUCGUAGUUGAAUUUCGAGAUCGGCUUACUGGUCGUGCUAUUGUACGUACUGGUAUAAUCGGUUUCUCCUUUCUGACGAACUAUAAUGCCAUUAAUUUGGUGUUUUAGGGAAUCAGGACUGUUACUUUGAAAAAUUAGAGUGUUUAAAGCAGGCUCACGCUUGAAUACAUUAGCAUGGAAUAACGGAAUAGGACGUUUGAUUCUAUUUUGUUGGUUUCUAGGAUCGACGUAAUGAUUAAUAGGGAUAGUUGGGGGCAUUAGUAUUCAAUUGUCAGAGGUGAAAUUCUUGGAUUUAUUGAAGACUAACUACUGCGAAAGCAUUUGCCAAGGAUGUUUUCAUUAAUCAAGAACGAAAGUUAGGGGAUCGAAGACGAUCAGAUACCGUCGUAGUCUUAACCAUAAACUAUGCCGACUAGGGAUCGGAUGAUGUUAAUUUUUUAAUGACUCA
This 506-nucleotide ribosomal RNA is filed under the name uncultured Glomeraceae. Its description in RNAcentral is "SSU rRNA". It matches the Rfam family "Eukaryotic small subunit ribosomal RNA", at positions 569 to 1078 of the family's 1831-position model. The record is from RNAcentral. Lineage: Eukaryota; Fungi; Glomeromycota; Glomeromycetes; Glomerales; Glomeraceae.